AAAGAGCCUAAAUCUUGUUCAAGACCUCAGUGAGGUAGGUGACCGAGCUCAAAAAAUGACUCGGCUCCUCAAGAACCGGCUGAGAUGACGAAGCGACAGUAAGGCCAAAGAGCCUGAAUCUUAUUCAAGACCUCAGUGAGGUAGGUGACCGAGCUCAGAAAAUGACUCGGCACCUCAAGAACCGGCUGAGAUGACGAAGCGACAGUAAGGCCAAAGAGCUUGAAUCUUGUUCAAGACCUCAGUGAGGUAGGUGAUCGAGCUCAGAAAACGACUCGGCAUCUCAAGAACCGACUGAGAUGAUGAAGCGACAGUAAGGCUAAAGAGCCUGAAUCUUGUUCAGGACCUCAGUGAGGUAGGCGACCGAGCUCAAAAAAUGACUCGGCACCUCAAGAACCGGCCGAGAUG
RNAcentral lists this long non-coding RNA (405 nucleotides) under Manihot esculenta (cassava). RNAcentral describes it as "long non-coding RNA (MESC_LNC003339)". Lineage: Eukaryota; Viridiplantae; Streptophyta; Magnoliopsida; Malpighiales; Euphorbiaceae. The record is from RNAcentral.